AUUGAACGCUGGCGGCAGGCCUAACACAUGCAAGUCGAACGGUAACAGAAAGCAGCUUGCUGCUUUGCUGACGAGUGGCGGACGGGUGAGUAAUGUCUGGGAAACUGUCUGAUGGAGGGUGAUAACUACUGGAAACGGUAGCUAAUACCGCAUAACGUCGCAAGCCCAAAGGGGGGGACCUUCGGGCCUCUUGCCAUCGGAUGUGCCCAGAUGGGAUUAGCUUGUAGGGGGGGUAACGUCUCACCUAGGCGACGAUCCGUAGAUGAUGUGAGGGAAUGACCGGCCGCACUAGAACUGAGACACGCACCAGGCGCCUGCGAGAGGCAGCAGUGGGGAAUAUUGCACAGUAGGCGCGAGCAUGAUGCAACCAUGCCACGUGUAUGAAAGAGACCUUCGGGUUGUGAAGUACUUUCAGCGGGGAGGAAGGGAGUAAAGUUGAUACCUAUGCUCAUUGACGUUACCCGCAGAAGAAGCACCGGCUAACUACGUG
Molecule: ribosomal RNA, 490 nt
Filed under: uncultured bacterium
Lineage: Bacteria
Description: partial 16S ribosomal RNA
Rfam family: Bacterial small subunit ribosomal RNA
Source: RNAcentral